RNAcentral lists this long non-coding RNA (218 nucleotides) under Populus trichocarpa (black cottonwood). RNAcentral describes it as "long non-coding RNA (PTRI_LNC000131)". The record is from RNAcentral. Lineage: Eukaryota; Viridiplantae; Streptophyta; Magnoliopsida; Malpighiales; Salicaceae.
UUUUUUCCAGUUUUGCCUUUUAUUAUUUAAUUUUCUUAAGAGUUAACCUCCAUUGUUUCAUUCAAUCUCUUCAAUGUAAAUUUGGUAUGUUAACUAGAGUCAAGUUUUUUUGUUCUUUUUUAAAAUUGAUUUUUUUUUUCAAAUUGUCCUUCAACAUUUGCUUUCAACAUUUGCUUUCCUAGUUAUUGAGCUUUAAAUUUCUUUUAUUUUUUCUCUCU